UCAUAAGAAUGUGAAGCUGCUAGGAGCUUAAACGGGUGGAACUGCGAAGGACGAACGAGGGCAUUCAACUCGUCCUGCGGACGGGACCGGGCUUUUCUGACUUGCGCCGUGCUCAUUAACCCCAAGUGAAGCGCGGGAGGCCCGGUCUGUGACACAAGUCCGUAGGGCGGGCGUAAUUGUCCCCUCUAGUAGUGUGACGCAGCGAACCGUAUGCGGGAGCCAGAAGGGCCUAAAGUUGGCGUCCGGAAUGGUACCCUCGGUCAGGAGGGGAAACCGGCGUGCUGCUGCUCUAUGGCUGGCUCUGAUGCCGCAACGGUUCCUUGAUGGAAGGGGCCCCCUUUCGCUGCGAAGUAGCGGUGAUCCACCCGACCCGUCUUGAAACACGGACCAAGGAGUCUAACCUGUGCGCGAGUCUAAGGGUCUCUUGAGACCCGGAGGCGCAAUGAAAGUGAGCGGAAUGAAUUUCCAGUGCUGGCCGAUCCCCGGGGGUAAAAUCCCGGGGCGCAGGCCGAGGACUCGCCGCUGGGCGGCUGCCGUGGCUGGCCUCGACUCUUCCCUUUCGGGGGUUGGGAUGGGGCUGGCUGGGCGGACCGCCGGCGAGUACCUUGAGAGCGCACACGUUGGGACCCGAA
RNAcentral lists this ribosomal RNA (632 nucleotides) under Troglocaris hercegovinensis. RNAcentral's name for it is "eukaryotic LSU rRNA". It matches the Rfam family "Eukaryotic large subunit ribosomal RNA", at positions 389 to 820 of the family's 3401-position model. The record is from RNAcentral. Lineage: Eukaryota; Metazoa; Arthropoda; Malacostraca; Decapoda; Atyidae.